RNAcentral lists this unclassified non-coding RNA (3026 nucleotides) under Hevea brasiliensis (rubber tree). Lineage: Eukaryota; Viridiplantae; Streptophyta; Magnoliopsida; Malpighiales; Euphorbiaceae. The record is from RNAcentral.
GAGAAUCAAGAAAAGAAAAUAUAACCUGCUUAUAAUCCAGAAAAGGCAAACAUUGUCCUAUCACGAAUGAAACAGAUGUCCAAAUAGACUUCCAGACAGGCCCGAAGGGGACCAACUAUAAACCAUUCUUUAAUUUUAGGCAGACAUUGCAGGGAAAACUAAUGGGGGGAAUAAAAAACCUUUCGUAAUUUAAGUCAUGCAGUCCACAGUUACCCUUAACAUGGGGAACCAUUUGUAGUGUACUUAGCCUAGUCUUUCUUGGUGAAGUGUCGGACUGCAUAGGCUAAGCCUAAGAUCAAGAGAGGCACGAGAAACUGCAAGAUCUUGAUAAAAAAGUCUGAGCUCUUAUCACGAUUGUAGGCAGCUUGUUUUGGAGGAAUGUGGUUACGUUUUGCCAGAAUAGUUGAUGCAUCAAUCUCACCAAUGUAGUACUUUUCCAUCAUCUCUCUAGCUGAAUCACUGUGACCCACAUCUUCAAAAUCAUUUGUUGCAUCUUUCCCUAAAAGAAUAAUAUUUAAAAAAAAAACAAAAAAAGAAUAUAAUCUCAAAUAAGCGUUGAAAUUUAGGCCUUGCUCUACUAAAUUGAAAAUUAUACAACUAGCACUGUAGCAUUACCAGUUGAUGACAGCAGAACUUCAUCUCCUCCAGGAUGGUCAUCCAUGAAGGGGGUGACAUCAUACACCUGAAUUUGAAGCUCAAAACUUUAAUUAACAAAUAAAAUCAAGGCAUAAGAAAACAUAUCAUGCCACAUAUACGUUGCCCUUAUUACCAUGUCAAAGAAAAAAAAAUACUCAGAUAAGAGUCUACACAUCUUGAAGAGCAGCAGGCGCAAGUGCAUUACUUACAAUUGUGAAUACCCAGGAAAAAAACCUUGUACUGUAUGCAACAUGAAAUUAUACUCUUUAUCACAUCAAAUCAAACCUACGACCCAAAUAGAUAGAGUUUUUAAUAAUGUAUGAAUUAUCCAACUUCUUAAGUUAAAGAACUGAUUUACCAUCAUCAGUAUCCUUCCACGAGUGCAAGUACCAUCCAUCCAGUAAUUUAUACUUUAAAUACAGUUUCUAUCAUUUAUGCAUAUUGAAGUUCAAAAGGGUUAUUGCAAUCUCAGUUAUUGCCGCUCAUGAAAACAGAACUUCAUUUGAAAUUGAGGGUAAAGAUGUGUUACUCAUGCAUGCAAGAUAGAGGUUGAAUGUAACUGAUGUACCACCACUCCUUUAUUUUAUGAUCUGAUUUUUCCAUAAAUUGUAGAUAGGCCUGGCCAUGGUCUGAUCAAAACUAGAACCAAAAACCAUUCAACAGUUCCUAGGCCCAGCCCGAACCGAAACUUGCACUAAUCAGUCCCCUCUUGAAGCUCGUCAACUGGACUGGAUCCACCAGUCUGGGCCGGUUUACCCGCUUUUAAAAAUAAUAAUAAUUAUUAUUAUGUGACAUUCCCUGGGUGUGUUGCAUGACGCGCUCACAGGCUAAUGCCUACAACCCCUUUUUUGUUACCAUUGCAAGAAAGCAACAAUUUUUAUUUUUUAUUAAUUUAAAAAAAAAAUUGUAAAUGUCAAUUUACAUUAUAACAGUCAAAUAACGGCUAUAUUUUAAGGACAUUUUGGAUAAGUAAAAAAAAAAAUUGCUUAUAAAUACCUAACAAUUUUCAUUUCUAAACCACUCUCAAUUCUCUCAACUCUCUCAACUUUUUAUCAACCCUCUAAACGUCUCUCAAUUUUACUCAUUUAUUUGAUUUUAUUUUUUUAAAUACAAAAAAAAAGUCAAGUCUAUGUUCAAUACCGUGUUAAGAAAUAACAAAAGUAAGGGAAAAAUUGGAAAAACUAAAUCUUCCUUUGACUCUAAUUUUCAAUUUAUGAGAACUAAUACUUUUGAUGAAUCAUUCGAGAGCCAACAAGCCCAACACUUACACACUCAUCCAACCCAAGAAAGUGAGCAUAUCAAUACAGAAGAUGACAAAGACAAAGCACCAGCUUUUCAACCCAAUCGGACCAAGGAGGAAAAUCUCUAAAAUCCAAUAUAUUUCAUGCUCAUUUGAUUAAACUUAAUCCAAAUAAUCAAGUGAAAAUAAAAUGCAACCACUGUGAACCUUUUGAAAUUCAAGGAAGAGGCAAAUAUGAAACUUUUAAACCACACCACCAAGAUAAACAUUUGAUCAAGCAUAUUAAUCAAUUUAAGUCUUCACAAUCACCACAAGUCUUCCAAAGUUCAUAUAACGUCGUGAAAAAGAACUUAUCUUGUUCAUUCGGAGAAGAACUACAAUUUCAAAUUUUUUUACAAAAUGGUUAAACAGUCAAUUUAAAAGGUUCCAAGAAAUACAUUAAAAAGAACAAUCAUUUCAACGUUUUACAAGAAAAAUUGAGUUAGUAAAGGUACUUAACAGGUUGGAACACUGAGUUUUUAUUGGUUUCGAUGUUUGGAGCAAUCACUGAAAAAUUAAUUUAUAUAAGGGAAUAACUUAUCAUUGGGUUCAUGAAUUUUUUUUUUGUGAAAUAAAAAAAGAAUUUUGGCUUUUAGAAUUUUUAAUGAAAAACAUAUUGAUCAAAAUCUGAUUUCCUCUAAAUAUAAUUUUGAAAGGCCUUAAUAUUUCCUCUAAUUAUCAGUUUUAUGGUUUUUCUUGAUGAGCUAUGUUCUGAACACUGGAAUCACGAAAACAGACACAACAAAGACCAACCAAUCAUCAAAACAGAGCAUAAUUUCCUUCAGCAUUAUGCAGAACAACAAAAUACUUGCAAAUAAAUUCAAUACAAAAAGGGUGCAAGAAAUUCAAUCACAACAAUCAACUUUCUGAUCUUCAAAUCUUGUGACAAACAACGGAAAAAAGAUCAAAACUCAAAUAAAAUAGAAAAUCGAACCUUGCCAGAGAUAAUGAGCCAACAAUCCUUAGUUUUAUUGUGCUUUGCAACCUCAUCGAAUUUGUGAAUUUUGGGAUCUGAAGCCAUCGUUUUCUCCCCUAAAGUCUUGCAGAGAAGGUGUGUUCAAAGCCAACUCUUUGUUUUUGUCAACUGACCUGUCAAAGCCCAAAACUGAGU